This is a long non-coding RNA of Andrographis paniculata, 1415 nucleotides long. RefSeq lists it as uncharacterized. Lineage: Eukaryota; Viridiplantae; Streptophyta; Magnoliopsida; Lamiales; Acanthaceae. The record is from RefSeq and is a predicted model, not a curated record. The transcript is spliced from 2 exons.
CGUAGCUACUAUAUGCCUUUUCUUGAGGUGAGCCACUGGUUUGCAUCUGACCAUGGCUUCUUUUUUUUUUCUUUUUUUUUUUUUAUGGCUUUAAAGUCAUGAUCUCAGAUCUCAUAAAUCAAAUUAAAUUAGGGAUUAUAAAUUGAGGGUUAUGAGGGCUGAGUUUUUUUUGAUGAGUGAUGCAUCUUUGUCUCUUCUUAUAUAUGUGAUCGAUCUGGACAAAUUAAAGUGAGUGAUUUUCAAUAUAUUGUUUGUUCUUCACAAAGUGUGAUCAAUCCAUGUCUCUGUGUAUUUUUUUAGCACACUAACCCUAAUUCUCUCUCUCUCUCUCUCUCUCUCUCUCUGGAAAUUUGCUGUCUUUCUGAUCCUUUCACUGUUUUAUAAUCAAAUUGUUUGUUUUGUUUUUGUUGUAAUAAAUCUUAGUUCAAGCUUCUUUACCUUUGGGGAUUUCUUGCAUGAAUUAAGGAGUGAGAAAUAUAUAUAUAUAUAUAUGUGUGUGUUUGUGUGUGUAAGUGUAAGAAAUUCUACACAAGAUGAAAUCUUUGAAAGUGUUGUAGAUAUGUAUGUAUAUAUAGAUAUAUAUAUAUAUAUAUAUGCCUGGCUCCCUGUAUGCCAUCUGUAGUGCUCAUCGGAGAAUCGAUGGAACUCGGCGGAUGGCGUAUGAGGAGCCAAGCAUAUACAUACACACAUUGUGUGUGUGCAUCUCUCUCUCUCUCUACAUAUAUAUAUAUACAUAUAUAAGUGAUUUAAAGUAUGAUGAAUUCAAUCUCAUUGUUCCUAUGUAGGGUGUCCUUUGUUUUAAUUUUGAUUAAAUGAUAAUGAUAAUGGAAGUGAAGAUACAUCACACACACACCCAAAAAAAAAAAAAAAGAAAAAAAGAAAAAGAAAUUCGGUUUCGACUAUCGAUUUUGCUACAUCACCAGAUUAUGGAUUUGUUUUUUUUAAAAAAAAUAAAUUCUAUUAGAUCGAUAUAAAAAUAUUGCCGUUGUUGGGGUGCAAACUCAAGUCCCACACUGGGAGUUGUGAAGAAAAUUCCACACCUUGUAAGUCUUAUAUCGAGAAUUGUGCGAUUUUCGCCCGGUGAUCGUCCUUAACGUGGUUUUUCCCUCAUGAACAAAGCUCGGCCCUCUUGGUCCUAUCAGCAACGUCGAGCAUACUCCCCCUCCUUGGGAUGUCCAGUUACCUUAGGACAUGAUCAUCCUGAUCAUCCUUGACGACAUGUCUACUUUGUGGCUUCGUUCGUCACCAGCGUCAAGGUCCGCUCUGAUAUCACUGUUGGGAUUGGGUCAACUCAACACUAAUAUGAUAUUGUCUGCUUUGGACUGAACUUAUACGGAUUUAUUUUUUUAUAUUCUCCAAAAGACCUCAUACUAGUGGAGUUCACUUGAAACUUAUAAAGUAUAGAAUUUUCUUCA